UGCAGUCGAACGGCAGCACGGGGGCAACCCUGGUGGCGAGUGGCGAACGGGUGAGUAAUACAUCGGAACGUGUCCUGUAGUGGGGGAUAGCCCGGCGAAAGCCGGAUUAAUACCGCAUACGAUCUGUGGAUGAAAGCGGGGGAUCUUCGGACCUCGCGCUACAGGGGCGGCCGAUGGCAGGUUAGCUAGUUGGUGGGGUAAAGGCCUACCAAGGCGACGAUCUGUAGCUGGUCUGAGAGGACGACCAGCCACACUGGGACUGAGACACGGCCCAGACUCCUACGGGAGGCAGCAGUGGGGAAUUUUGGACGAUGGGCGCAAGCCUGAUCCAGCAAUGCCGCGUGUGUGAAGAAGGCCUUCGGGUUGUAAAGCACUUUUGUCAGGAAAGAAACGUCAUGGGCUAAUACCCCGUGAAACUGACGGUACCUGCAGAAUAAGCACCGGCUAACUACGUGCCAGCAGCCGCGGUAAUGCGUAGGGUGCAAGCGUUAAUCGGAAUUACUGGGCGUAAAGCGUGCGCAGGCGGUCUGUUAAGACCGAUGUGAAAUCCCCGGGCUUAACCUGGGAACUGCAUUGGUGACUGGCAGGCUUGAGUGUGGCAGAGGGAGUAGAAUUCCCGUGUACAGUGAAAUGCGU
RNAcentral lists this ribosomal RNA (636 nucleotides) under uncultured Burkholderia sp. Its description in RNAcentral is "bacterial SSU rRNA". It matches the Rfam family "Bacterial small subunit ribosomal RNA", at positions 56 to 691 of the family's 1533-position model. Lineage: Bacteria; Pseudomonadati; Pseudomonadota; Betaproteobacteria; Burkholderiales; Burkholderiaceae. The record is from RNAcentral.